CUGUUUUGGAAACCCAGCCACCACGUUGUGAGAAAGUCAAGCAGCCCCACAGACGGGCUACGUGCAGUCCUGCUGAGGUCCCAGUUAAAAGCCAGCAUCACCCGCUGGACACGUGAGUCUGAAUCUCUCACCAGAUUGAGAUGCUAUCGAUGCUGGGACUAUGUCAUAUAUCUCUUUUUAUCCUUGGUUCCAAAUCCACGAACCAGGGCCUCAGAUUCAGUGGGAAUGAAGUGGAGGCCCAGAAAGAAUCAUGUCCAGGUGAAGCUCUACCAUUCCCAGCAGUAUUUGAGGACUGGUCGGUGUUCAGCAGCAGCCCCAGCCAGGACCUCCCAGGGGACCCAAGACGGGAUAGGAUGGAGAAGUGGAACCAGGCCCUCUGACCCUAUCCCAGCACUGGAAACUGGCGAGAGCAGGCUAUCCUUCCAGGCCAGGCCUAGGGACAGAUUAACAUCAAGAAUGGGCAGAAACCUCUGUUCCCCGCAGCCCUGAGACACUAUGCAAAAUAAAUCUUUGCUCCUGCUUUGUGGUGUCAGAAACUACUUUAAAAUGGAAGGAGGGAAGGCAUAUGUGAAAAAAUUCAAAUUCUUAAGAGACAGCUAGCUUCAAAAUCCAAA
RNAcentral lists this long non-coding RNA (614 nucleotides) under Homo sapiens (human). RNAcentral describes it as "HSALNT0224685". The record is from RNAcentral. Lineage: Eukaryota; Metazoa; Chordata; Mammalia; Primates; Hominidae.